RNAcentral lists this transfer RNA (57 nucleotides) under Loxodonta africana (African savanna elephant). It matches the Rfam family "tRNA", at positions 8 to 63 of the family's 71-position model. Rfam says of the family: Transfer RNA (tRNA) molecules are approximately 80 nucleotides in length. Their secondary structure includes four short double-helical elements and three loops (D, anti-codon, and T loops). The record is from Rfam by way of RNAcentral. Lineage: Eukaryota; Metazoa; Chordata; Mammalia; Proboscidea; Elephantidae.
UGGCACAGUGGUUAAGUGUUCGGCUGCUAACCGAAAGGUCGGUAGUUCGAAUCCACC